Molecule: ribosomal RNA, 761 nt
Filed under: Mecodema spinifer
Lineage: Eukaryota; Metazoa; Arthropoda; Insecta; Coleoptera; Carabidae
Description: partial 16S ribosomal RNA
Rfam family: Bacterial large subunit ribosomal RNA (bases 1-581)
Source: RNAcentral
GUCCUUUUGUUUUAUAUUUAAGGUUUAACCUGCCCACUGAAUAAUUUAAAUGGCCGCAGUAUUUUAACUGUGCAAAGGUAGCAUAAUCAUUAGUUUUUUAAUUAAAAGCUUGUAUGAAAGGUUGGACGAGGUAAAAACUGUCUUUAUUUAAUUAAUUAUAAAAUUUAAUUUUUAAGUUAAAAAGCUUAAAUUUUUUUAAAAGACGAGAAGACCCUAUAGAUCUUUAUAUUUAUUAUUAUAUUUUUAAUUAAGAUUUAUUUAAAUUUUAUUUUAUUAAAUAUUUUAUUGGGGUAAUAAGAAGAUUAAAAAAAUUCUUUUAUAUGUUAUUCAUUGAUUAAUGUUUUAAUGAUCCAAUUUUAUUGAUUAUAAGAUUAAGUUACCUUAGGGAUAACAGCGUAAUUUUUUUAGAGAGUUCAUAUCGAUAAUAAAGUUUGCGACCUCGAUGUUGGAUUAAAGAUUAAUUUAGGUGUAGAUGUUUAAAUUUUUGGUCUGUUCGACCAUUAAAUCUUUACAUGAUCUGAGUUCAGACCGGUUUAAGCCAGGUCGGUUUCUAUCUUUAAUAAAAUAAUAUAUUUUAGUACGAAAGGACCAAAUAUAUAAUAUAUAAAUAUUUAUUAAUUUUUGAAUAUUAUUAAUUACUUUGGCAGAUUAGUGCAAUGAAUUUAGAAUUCAUAUAUGUAAAUUUUUACAAGUAAUACUUGUUUUAUAUAGAUAUAAUAUUUUCUUUUAUUUGUAUAUUAUUAUUAAUUAUUUGUGUAUUA